This 494-nucleotide ribosomal RNA is filed under the name uncultured bacterium. RNAcentral's name for it is "bacterial SSU rRNA". It matches the Rfam family "Bacterial small subunit ribosomal RNA", at positions 26 to 507 of the family's 1533-position model. The record is from RNAcentral.
CUCGAAGGACGAACGCUGGCGGCGUGCCUAACACAUGCAAGUCGAACGAACUGAGGAGAGCUUGCUCUCCGAAGUUAGUGGCGGACGGGUGAGUAACGCGUGAGUAACCUGCCUAUUAGAGGGGGAUAACGUUUGGAAACGAACGCUAAUACCGCAUAAAACCACAGUAUCGCAUGAUACAAUGGUCAAAGGAGCAAUCCGCUGAUAGAUGGACUCGCGUCUGAUUAGAUAGUAGGCGGGGUAACGGCCCACCUAGUCUACGAUGUCUAGGGGGUUCUGAGAGGAAGGUCCCCCACACUGGAACUGAGACACGGUCCAGACUCCUACGGGAGGCAGCAGUGAGGAAUAUUGGUCAAUGGCCGGAAGGCUGAACCAGCCAAGUAGCGUGAAGGAUGAAGGUUCUAUGGAUUGUAAACUUCUUUUAUACGGGAAUAAAGCCCGCUACGUGUAGCGGUUUGUAUGUACCGUAUGAAUAAGCAUCGGCUAACUCCGUG